RNAcentral lists this ribosomal RNA (270 nucleotides) under uncultured bacterium. RNAcentral's name for it is "partial 16S ribosomal RNA". It matches the Rfam family "Bacterial small subunit ribosomal RNA", at positions 793 to 1055 of the family's 1533-position model. The record is from RNAcentral.
GUCCACGCCGUAAACGAUGAUCACUAGAUGUUGGAUUGGCAUAGCCGAUUCGGUGUCGUAGCUAACGCGUUAAGUGAUCCGCCUGGGAAUUACGGUCGCAAGAUUAAAACUCAAAGGAAUUGACGGGGGUCCGCACAAGCGGUGGAACAUGUGGUUUAAUUCGACACUACGCGAGGAACCUUACCUGGGUUUGACAUGUAACUGCUACUGGUAGAAAUACUGGGUUUCGUAGUAAUACGAACGGUUACACAGGUGCUGCAUGGCUGUCGU